AUGAAAGUCCCGUACAAGGUCAACAAUGAGAUCGAGGAAGCAUUGUUCCCCCGUUUGUUUCCUGGGUCUGAAUCCAUGCCGAACACGUCUGCAGUGGCAAAUCUGAGAAAUGUGAAGAACAUGAAUUGGUGUAAGUUUAUUGCCGACUUCCUGCACGAUGCAUUCUCAAGCAAGAUGUACCAAAAGGGUUGUCAACUGCAUUUAAUGCUCAUGUACGUCGACUGUCUUGACCUGUCCACCAUGGAUUUCACUGGGACAGGAGGCCCACCGCCUGCGCACAAGUUUGUUGUUUCUGCAUGGACUAUCAACACUGUCAAGGCUGUGCUUGCCGCAGACAAGUCUACUGACACCACAUAUGGAAAACUGCAGCUGAUGGCCAAGCAUGCUAUAGACUACAGCGUGUUUGGGGGGCCUCAAAACUUUGGAAAGUGGAUGCACGUGCACUCAGCUCCGUCUUGCCCUGCCGAGGCAAGGGCGCCUGUUGAGCAUCUAAUAGGGCAGUUUUCAUCUGGAAUGACCGGCUUGCUCGGGAAGUUGGUUGAGGGGUGGACGUCCCUCAGUGGCUCUGACAGCGACGCGGUUGCGAGACAGUUCACUUCAUUUGUCCCAGAACAUACACACUGGUCAACCGAUUGCCGUGGCCGGUAUGACUACAACAGUUCCCAAGAGCCUGCUGACACACAAGAUGAACUAGGUGGAGAUGCUGGUCUCAGCAAGGAUGACGACGAUGUCAUGGAGAAUGUGCAAGAGGACACCGAUGAUGAUGAUCAUGCUGAAGUUCGCGCAUGUGGUAACAAGGGCAGGGAUGCAAUAGAUGUCCCCCAACCGGAGAAAGUCAAACAACACACGGCUGCGAGAGGCGAGGGGGUUUUGCCAUCAAAGAGGGGGAGGGCUCCAGAGGGUGUUGGGCAGGGUUCUGCUGGCAAGAGGGUGAAGAAGACUACUACGCGCGGGGCCAAGCAUAUCAGUAAGGACCCGCUCGAACGCCUGCAUUCAAAGUUGUCAACAGGGGGCAACUCAGAUGUACAUGAGGCACCAAGCGACAAUACUGUUGCUGCACCGUUGACCGCUCCCACCAACUCUGAUGCAAGUGGCCGACCAUCUCCGCCGGCUGCAGAUGUGCAGGCUAGAACAACAGGCAUCCGUACAUCGGGGAGUGAUGAGUCGGUAUCUGCCAGGACAGCUGAAAUAUUGCCAACUCUUCUGGCAAUGAAGGAUGCUGCUGUGAACCAUGCCACCCCAUCAGCAAGCAUUGAAGUGGACGCUCCCGAGACGAACCUAAGCAAGGAAGAUUCCCGCUCAUCUGACACUGAUUCCAAGCGCGUGCGUGGUGGCACUCCUGUGUCCACGAUAGAAGCGGCUGAGGCGGCAGUUCACAAGGAUAUUCCAUCUACAGAAGACCGGAGCACAACUGAUGCAGGUGUCAAGCCGGGCACGAGUGACGCAGGUGAAAAACCGGAGCAGACUGCGCCUUUACCCGCAGUGGAAAUCCCCAGCAUAAAUCUGCGCACUUCCAGGCUCCCAGUCAAUGUCGGUGUCCCCUACAGCCCAAACAAGAAGAUUGUCAUGAAAGCUGUGGCUGAUACCGCUGACAACACGCCCCACCCUGCAAAUAAGGCCGAUCAUUCUGUAGUGGCCGAUUCAGAUAUGUUUGUCGAUCUUUCACCCUUGGAUUCUGCCCCGCAAGUCGUUCGUGGUCCGGCCAGUAGGAAUGAGAGGCACCCAAUGGCCUUUACGCCACCGAGCUUCAGCCUUGGCAUCAGUCAAGAUCAACCGGUGGUGCAAGAUCCUAUGCCUGUUGCCUUUGCUUUCCCAGGAGGCAUGCCCGCAAUGAUGGCGCAGCCAAUGGUCGAGGGCAGGAAGGCUGUCAAGUUCGCAGAGCCGAUUGUGCAAGCCACCCCUGAGGAGAUUUCACCGUCACUUGACGAAGCUUACCGCAUGAUUGAGGAGGCAGCAUUGCAGAGGAGGUCCUUACGAGGGCAAGGGCAAUCAAGUUCCAACGUGCCUGCAGAUACGGUAUCUGAGGAUACCAUUUGGAGUGCCACUCCUGGUUCUGUGAGGCAGCAGAGGGUAGUUCACCCACCUCCCGCGGAAGACUACGAGCCCGAAUUCAGGGCCACUAAGGAACAAACCCAGUUGUACGAUAUCGUCAAGCGGUUUGGAAAUGCGAGGGCCAGCAGCAAGCACAUGAAGGAGCUGAAAGCGUAA
This 2208-nucleotide ribosomal RNA is filed under the name Triticum aestivum (bread wheat). RNAcentral's name for it is "partial small subunit ribosomal RNA". Lineage: Eukaryota; Viridiplantae; Streptophyta; Magnoliopsida; Poales; Poaceae. The record is from RNAcentral.